This 520-nucleotide ribosomal RNA is filed under the name uncultured Scutellospora. Its description in RNAcentral is "SSU rRNA". It matches the Rfam family "Eukaryotic small subunit ribosomal RNA", at positions 569 to 1097 of the family's 1831-position model. Lineage: Eukaryota; Fungi; Glomeromycota; Glomeromycetes; Diversisporales; Gigasporaceae. The record is from RNAcentral.
AGCAGCCGCGGUAAUUCCAGCUCCAAUAGCGUAUAUUAAAGUUGUUGCAGUUAAAAAGCUCGUAGUUGAAUUUCGGGGUUCUACCGUUGGUCGGGCUAUUGUCUGUACUGGCGUGUAGAAUUUCUACCUUCUGGGGAACUAUCAUGUUAUUAAUUUAGCGUGGUAGGAAACCAGAACCUUUACCUUGAAAAAAUUAGAGUGUUCAAAGCAGGCUUAUGUCUGAAUACAUUAGCAUGGAAUAAUAAAAUAGGACGGUGGUCCUGUUUUGUUGGUUUCUGAAUCACCGUAAUGAUUAAUAGGGAUAGUUGGGGGCAUUAGUAUUCAAUUGUCAGAGGUGAAAUUCUUGGAUUUAUUGAAGACUAACUACUGCGAAAGCAUUUGCCAAGGAUGUUUUCAUUAAUCAAGAACGAAAGUUAGGGAUCGAAGACGAUCAGAUACCGUCGUAGUCUUAACCAUAAAACUAUGCCGACUAGGGAUCGGACGAUGUUAACUUUCCUGACUCGUCGCGCCUUACGGAACA